RNAcentral lists this ribosomal RNA (253 nucleotides) under uncultured bacterium. Its description in RNAcentral is "partial 16S ribosomal RNA". It matches the Rfam family "Bacterial small subunit ribosomal RNA", at positions 524 to 776 of the family's 1533-position model. The record is from RNAcentral.
UACGGGGGGGGCAAGCGUUGUUCGGAAUUACUGGGCGUAAAGCGCGCGUAGGCGGCUUUGUAAGUUAGAGGUGAAAGCCCGGGGCUCAACCCCGGAACUGCCUUUAAGACUGCAUCGCUUGAAUCCGGGAGAGGUGAGUGGAAUUCCGAGUGUAGAGGUGAAAUUCGUAGAUAUUCGGAAGAACACCAGUGGCGAAGGCGGCUCACUGGACCGGCAUUGACGCUGAGGUGCGAAAGCGUGGGGAGCGAACAGG